GACGGGUGAGUAACGCGUGGGUAACCUGCCUUGUACUGGGGGAUAACACUUAGAAAUAGGUGCUAAUACCGCAUAAUCAUAAGAUCUCGCAUGAGAAUUUAUGGAAAACUCCGGUGGUACAAGAUGGACCCGCGUCUGAUUAGUUAGUUGGUGGGGUAAUGGCCUACCAAGACGACGAUCAGUAGCCGGCCUGAGAGGGUGACCGGCCACAUUGGGACUGAGACACGGCCCAAACUCCUACGGGAGGCAGCAGUGGGGAAUAUUGCACAAUGGGGGAAACCCUGAUGCAGCGACGCCGCGUGAGUGAAGAAGUAUUUCGGUACGUAAAGCUCUAUCAGCAGGGAAGAAAAUGACGGUACCUGACUAAGAAGCCCCGGCUAACUACGUGCCAGCAGCCGCGGUAAUACGUAGGGGGCAAGCGUUAUCCGGAUUUACUGGGUGUAAAGGGAGCGUAGACGGCAUGGCAAGUCUGAAGUGAAAGCCCGGGGCUCAACCCCGGGACUGCUUUGGAAACUGUCAGGCUAGAGUGCAGGAGAGGUAAGUGGAAUUCCUAGUGUAGCGGUGAAAUGCGUAGAUAUUAGGAGGAACACCAGUGGCGAAGGCGGCUUACUGGACUGUAACUGACGUUGAUGCUCGAAAGCGUGGGGAGCAAACAGGAUUAGAUACCCUGGUAGUCCACGCCGUAAACGAUGAUUACUAGGUGUCGGGGAGUUACAACUCUUCGGUGCCGCAGCUAACGCACUAAGUAUCCACCUGGAGAGUACGUUCGCAAGAAUGAACUCAAAGAAUGACGUAACCGCACAG
RNAcentral lists this ribosomal RNA (804 nucleotides) under uncultured bacterium. RNAcentral's name for it is "bacterial SSU rRNA". It matches the Rfam family "Bacterial small subunit ribosomal RNA", at positions 100 to 928 of the family's 1533-position model. The record is from RNAcentral.